GCAUUGGUGGAUCAGUGGUAGAAUUCUCGCCUUCCACGGAGGAGACCUGGGUUCGCUUCCCAGCCAAUGAA
RNAcentral lists this transfer RNA (71 nucleotides) under Loxodonta africana (African savanna elephant). It matches the Rfam family "tRNA". Rfam says of the family: Transfer RNA (tRNA) molecules are approximately 80 nucleotides in length. Their secondary structure includes four short double-helical elements and three loops (D, anti-codon, and T loops). Lineage: Eukaryota; Metazoa; Chordata; Mammalia; Proboscidea; Elephantidae. The record is from Rfam by way of RNAcentral.